UAGCCAAACACCGUCAUAUUUUUUUAUUCCCAUUGGAUUACUAGGAAUUUUUAAAAGAUAGCGCGAACAAAACGCACCCUAAAAGUAAAUGCCGGUGUAUCAAAAUAUUGCAAGAACUUGGACGGCCCUUUGGCAACCGUUGCAUGUGCUCAGUUCGUUAGCGAGCCCAAGCACUGUAGCAACUCGGAUGGCCUUUUGGCAACCGUUGCAUAUGAUAAGAUUAUUAAUGAGGAGAAAAGAUAGGAUUCUUUUUUUUUUCUUUUUUUUUUGUAAACUAAACUAUCUGAGCUUAUCACUUAUUCUUAUCUGCUAUUUUUUGUGGGGUUUCCCUGUUGCCUGUUAAAUGCUCUGUUUCUUAAAAGGGACGAAUAUAUGCUUAGCACAAAAACAGCUAAUUCUAAUUUUUAUACUUCUUUCGAAUUUUGGCAAGCUAAGUUUACUUACAUUUGUUCGCUGGAAUAGGCGUUUGAGCUUUUGUUUACAUCUUAGAAUUUGUUUAUAGUUUUUUUCCAGUUUUGUUGCGUCCUCUUUUUUCCCUCUCAUAAAAUGUUUACUUUGCAUCCUCUAUGCGAGGUAUUAUUUGUUGAUUUGAUUUUGUGUUAUGAGAUAAGCAAUGAUGAUUAAAAAAAACAGCAUUAUUUGUUUGCUGAAUAUUUUCUAAUUGAUAUCCUCUAUCCUAUAUUUUCUCCUUUGAAAAUUUUUUACUACGAAAUAGAUGCUUGCGUAUUGAAAUAUUGCAAGGACUUAGAUGGCCCUUUGACAACCGCUGCAUGUAAGGUCAUUUCUUUAGUGAGGAAAAAUGUUGCAGCAGCUUGGAUGAUGUAUAGCUAUUCGCUGUGUGAACAAUCCUAGAAUUAUAUCUCUUCUGCUUGACUCAUCAUUUUGUCUUAUUGGCUAUUAAAAAAGAGAGAUGAUAAAUGUGAGCUAUUCUCCAGUUUGGAAAAGAAAUAAUUUAUGAUGCCAUGAUUAUCUGAGCUCAUGAUACGAGGUGAGUCUUCAUGCAUCUUAAAUCCUAACUAUUAUUUUGGACUGAUUUAUUGCCAUGCAUGUUUUAGCGAAAUCGGUGGUUUGGUGGCGAUGUCACCAAGGGAACGGGUGGAGUGAUGGAAUUGGUGAAAAAGAUUUCGUUGCUGUAGCUGUUGUUCACAACAAGGAAAGAUAAAGCAGGAUAUUCACAAAUGGCAUUUACGUUGCUGAAGGAAUUAGCACUCGAAACGCAGCAUUGUAAGAUCGGAGUUAAAAUUAGUAGGAUAUGGGAAUUAACGAUGCCACAGCUUAAAAAGAUUUUUUAAGCUUAGACUGCCUUCUUAUAGAUGAAGAGGGAUAUGCGAUGCAAGCAACAAUCCGCAAACACGAUGCAAAACAUUUCAGAGCACAACUUUCUGAAGGGAAUGUAUAUGUUAUUGAAAAUUUCAAUGUUGUGCCCAGCAGAAACAGGUACAAAGUUGUAGAUCGCAAGUAUAUGAUCUAGAUUAGUAAAUGGACACGUAUUGCUGGGGCAGAAGAUGCUCAGAAUUUGAUUCCUGCAUUUAGCUUUCAUUUCCUAAAAUUUGAUUAUAUUAAAAACAAGAGAUGCACACUGAUGGCUACCUAAUAGAUGUUCUUGGAAGCAUUUCAACAAUUGGUCCUGUUUCUCAAAUAUACGUCGGACAAGAGUUGACUCCGCUAAGAAAUUUGGAAAUUCGGGAUCUUGAG
Ananas comosus (pineapple) is the source of this 1695-nucleotide long non-coding RNA. RefSeq lists it as uncharacterized. The record is from RefSeq and is a predicted model, not a curated record. Lineage: Eukaryota; Viridiplantae; Streptophyta; Magnoliopsida; Poales; Bromeliaceae. The transcript has 4 exons.